RNAcentral lists this small nuclear RNA (21 nucleotides) under Arabidopsis thaliana (thale cress). Its description in RNAcentral is "snRNA_09036". Lineage: Eukaryota; Viridiplantae; Streptophyta; Magnoliopsida; Brassicales; Brassicaceae. The record is from RNAcentral.
UCCCAUGGGCCGAGGCUGGAG